UGUAGAGAAUCUGCCCUGUACUGGGGGACAACAGAGGGAAACUUCUGCUAAUACCCCAUAUGAGCGUAGCUGCGAUGGUAUUCUUGAAAGUUCCGGCGGUACAGGAUGAGUCUGCAUCUGAUUAGCUAGUUGGUGGUGUAAUGGACUACCAAGGCGACGAUCAGUAGCUGGUUUGAGAGGAUGAUCAGCCACAAUGGGACUGAGACACGGCCCAUACUCCUACGGAAGGCAGCAG
Molecule: ribosomal RNA, 235 nt
Filed under: uncultured bacterium
Lineage: Bacteria
Description: partial 16S ribosomal RNA
Rfam family: Bacterial small subunit ribosomal RNA
Source: RNAcentral